Molecule: ribosomal RNA, 306 nt
Filed under: Triticum aestivum (bread wheat)
Lineage: Eukaryota; Viridiplantae; Streptophyta; Magnoliopsida; Poales; Poaceae
Description: partial small subunit ribosomal RNA
Source: RNAcentral
UUCCUUAGCACUCCGAUUGCUCCUCUUACCGAUGCUGAAUCUUGUGAAAUUAAUGCUGCUUUGUUGAAUCUUGUUAUGAAAGAUCAAUUCGCGAGCCUUCCUAGUGAAGAUGCCGCUACUCAUCUGAAUAGCUUCGUUGAUUUAUGUGAUAUGCAAAAGAAAAAAGAUGUCAAUAAUGAUGUCGUUAAAUUGAAGCUAUUUCCUUUUCCGCUUAGAGAUCGUGCUAAAGCUUGGUUUUCGUCUUUGCCUAAGAAUAGUAUUGAUUCAUGGAACAAGUGCAAAGAUGCUUUUAUCUCUAAGUAUUUU